RNAcentral lists this long non-coding RNA (320 nucleotides) under Elaeis guineensis (African oil palm). RNAcentral describes it as "long non-coding RNA (EGUI_LNC050929)". The record is from RNAcentral. Lineage: Eukaryota; Viridiplantae; Streptophyta; Magnoliopsida; Arecales; Arecaceae.
GACAUCUUUUGCCUUCUUAUUUUUUCUUUUUAUAAGCAUUAUCACUGACCAAUCUAAGGUCAGGAAUAUCCAGAAUAUCGGAGUUUUUCUUCGGUAUGAAUCUAAUUUGCAAGUUCCUCAACCAAUCCACAUAGUUUGGAUCAGUCAAUUUAUUAUCAUCUAUGAUGUUAUGCAGCGAAAAUAAAGAAGCCAUAAUGCGGAAUGAAAUCUACAUAGAUAAAGAACAAUAAUAGAAGCAAACCACUCAUGUUUGACAUGCAUAACUUGAUGAGGUUUUUCAACUAGUUAUGUCUCCCACUAUUUUAUCGGAUACCAUAGCC